RNAcentral lists this long non-coding RNA (1988 nucleotides) under Naja naja (Indian cobra). RNAcentral describes it as "lncRNA (ENSNNAG00000014497.1)". The record is from RNAcentral. Lineage: Eukaryota; Metazoa; Chordata; Lepidosauria; Squamata; Elapidae.
CCGCCAGCUCCCUUUCGGGUCAACUCGCGAGAGGCGAGCUGGAGCCUCCGGGCGCCAGGUCGGGGUCGCAGGCUGGCCGGCUCAGCUGACUGGGAUUCGGCGCCUUCGGCCAAGCACACGAGCGCUCCGCGGGCCGCAGCUGGGGGCGGGCCAUGGCAGGCCAAUCGCGGGCCGAGGCCGCUGACAACGGCUGCAGGGCUGACCGGCGGGUCCUGAAGUCGGGCCAAGGGAAAAGGAAAUGCCCGGGGCGGAACAGAGCCAGGCGGGCUGCGAGCUGUCCGCUGUUUUUGUCCUCCUUGCCCUUCCCGACCUCCUCCUGCUGCUUUGUUGGAUUCUUUGCCUGGAGGUGCAGAAUCAUUCAAGCACCCCUGUGACCCGAAAGACACCAAAUGAAGUCUCUCUCUUCCCAACCUUCUGGGGCACAGCAGCAGCCUCGACCUUUCCUGGAACCAGCCAUCCAUAAUGCAGUUUAUGGCCGACACAAGUUCCUCAGCUUUGCCUCCCAGCCUGGACCUCAGAAGAAGAAGCAACUGGCUGGAGUCAGGCCUUCUGCACUCAUGCCCCAGCUGCCCAGCUUUCUUUGAGGAGGGCAGGAUCUAUUCCUCCAGGAACAUCCUCCGAGGGCUGCACUUCCUGGGGCUCCAGCUGUUCCAGCUGCUGCGGGGGCCCAGACAGGUCCAAAUCAGUGCCUGGGGUGUGAACUUGCUCUCAGAUGGAUCCCUGGAGGAGUCUGGCACCUGGGAGAUUAGAGUAAUGAUGGAGCAGCUGUCUGAUCUUUCUGGGCAACUGUCUGCACUGGAAGAGCAAAGUGAGAGUUGGCACAAGAAAGAGCUGUUCCUUUACUCCAUGUUGGCCUCUGCCUGGCUCUUUAACAUAUGGCUGUGGCUCAGGAGAUGACUUGCCCACGACUUGCCCACGACAGCCACAAGAGAAAAAUGAUGUGGUUAGCUGUAAGACUUGCAACCAGCCAAGGGAGGUGGGGGUGGGGGGAAACGGGACACUGAGUGUUCCGGGUCUCUAGUGGCCAGAAGGGUAGGAGGGGAGAGGAAAGGCUGCCCUUCCAGCCUUCAGUUUCUUUUUUUAAUGUUCCUGUUGUAAGCUAUUGCCAGGUUUUAUCUUUAUUAUUAUUGUUAUUCCCUGCAAUGCCCCUCUUGGGUUGUCAAGGGAGAAAACGUCUCCUUUCCCAUUUUCAUAGUCUUUCCUGGGGGAUGGGGUGAGUGUGGAAGUGGCAUUGAGUUGCCUCUCUUCCACUCUUCUCCAGUCCAAGUCAGAUGAUAAUAUGGAGGUGCUGUGCAUUUAAGAGCAUGAUAACAUUGGGAUUCUGAUUUUUAGAGGGCUCUGCGCAUAUCCCUGCCAGCCUCUUUUCACAUUCUCCCCAUUUUUGUUUCUUGUGGACAUAGUAGAAAGUAAUGAAGAUCAUCUUGAUAGAUUCCAGUAUCAUGGCUGGGAAGGGUGAACUAAACCUUAAGCCCACAGCAGACAGAAAAUAUGCAGGAGGGGCUCAGACAGAAACCUCCUUGGGUUACAGGAACAUAAGAAGGCCGAGGAAGACUGUGGUUAUAGUCACUCUCAAUAAAAAAAAUAGUUUUAGGCUUACUGUGGAGCUGAUUUCUGGAUCUGCUCUACCUGGUGGGGCUGCAGCAUGGUUUCAGGGUCUAAUUUGUAUAUAAUUUUGGGGAACUUUUUAUUCAUGAUAGCUGCAGCAAGAUUAUUGUAUGUGCAAAGAUGAGAAGAUUCGGCACUGCCCAUCACGGAGGAAUGGUUGGUGAAGAUGAUGGAAUUUGCUGCAAUGGCUAAAUUUACUUCUUUGAUCAGAGAAAAAAAAACAAUAUCUACAUUUAUUACUGACUGGAAACUUUUUAUAGACAUUUUGUGAGAAACAGAAAAAAAUGAACUCAUGCUAUAUGGUUUGGAUGAUUAGACUGAAUAGACUGUAGAAAGAAGAUGUUGUAACCAUAGAGUAAAAUUUCUAAUUGUACUUAUAGCUG